Apodemus sylvaticus (European woodmouse) is the source of this 2636-nucleotide long non-coding RNA. RefSeq lists it as uncharacterized. The record is from RefSeq and is a predicted model, not a curated record. The transcript is spliced from 3 exons. NCBI's taxonomy places the organism in Eukaryota, Metazoa, Chordata, Mammalia, Rodentia, Muridae.
CCCGCCCUCUAGCCGCACCUCGGGGUCCAGGAUCCCACCCAAGUCGCUGCUUUCCGCUAAGGGCCCGACUCUUCUUGGAAGUCACGAGGCAGCACCGAAGCCCACCCACGGAGGAGACCCCGAGUGGGUGGGAACGGGGUGCUGGCGCGGCGCCACCUUGGAAGGUCCUCCGGCUCUUGGGAAGUUCGCGUGAGAAGCACCAGUGCAUGCCUGUGGCCAGAAGAGGGCAUUGCAUCUCCCGGAACUGGAGUUACAGUCCUGAGCCACGGUGCAGGCGAUUGUGACUCAAACCUGGACCCUCUGGAAGAGCAGCCGGCACCCUUAGCAGAGGCGCUGUCUGUCCAUCAGUGCUGCCAGCUGAGUUCUACAUCUUUGCUGAUUUUGCUGUCCUGCUUAGCACGCUUAUUUUUCCUAUCUAGUUAUUUGAACUUGACCCCCCUGAAAGCCGGUGCUUUGGGACAUGCUCUCUGGCCUGACUUUUUGCUAGGUCAACAAACUGACCCGGCUUUGCAUCAUCUGUGGCCAGUUCUUGCUGAGCCUUACAGCCUGUGACUGAAGCACGAACUACCUAGUAGAAGUCCUAGAGAGCCACACAGAUAGCUCCCGGAACCGGCCACUUUCUCCAUGAAUGGGGGAACAAGAAGGACAAACCGUACAGAUUUCCUGUGUUCCCUGCCAGGCCUCCUCCGAGGCCUCCUGGAAAGUGUGGCUACGAAGGGCAGCUCAGGGGCCCAGAGGCUCCUGGAAAGGGAGCCCUAGCAAGGGACAUGUCUGAGCACCAUGUUCUUCUGGCACCAGCUGGGGCCACAGCUCAGUUGGGAAAAGGCGAAUGUCCUCGUUACUUUUCUGUUGCACUGAUAAACAACAAAACAACCGGGGAGGAAAGGGCUUACUUCAUCUUACGCUUUGUAAUCCAUCAGUGAGAGAAGUCAAGGCAGGAACCGGGGCUCCGCAAGUGAAGCAGAGACCACGAGACCACGACGAACACCGCUCCCCGGCCUGCUCAGCCUGUUUUCUUACUGCACCCAGGACCACCUGCCCAGGGAUGGCACCAGCCAGUGAGCAGGGCCUUCCCCAAUCGGUCAGUAAUUAAGAAAAUGCCCCGCAGGUUUGCCCACAGACCAGUUUAAUGGCCAGUCUAAUUCCUCCAUCAGGGCCUCCCUUCACAAGUGACUCCUUUGUGUCAGGCUGACAGGGAACAGCCAGUGCAGCUCUCAACCCUGGGUUCAGUUCCCAGCACCGCAUAGGCCAGGUGUGGUGCAGCCCCGCCUGCCAUCACAACCAUGACUUCUGGGUCAUUCUCCUCUACAGAAUGAGUCCCAGGCUAGCCUGGGACACACAAUUUAACAUCAACUCCUACCACCGCCCCAAAGACGCUCUGGUUUCUCAGGGGCAGCUUAGAAGCUCCAGGAAGUUGAAGUUCACCAAGUUGCUCCCUCCUGCUUCCUCAUUUCUUUCCAAGCCACUUCUAAAUGGUGGUGCGCACGGAGCCCUGGCAGUGCUCUGACAGUGUAGACGAGUCCUCUGCCGGGAGCCCAGCCCAAACACCUGCAGAAGGUGAAAGGAGUAUUAUUGACAAUCCUCACCUGACUGGGGGUCAGGGAAGGCACAAGAUGUCCGUGGUUUGGGCAGCCCUCCCAGAGCCUUGUUUGGGUCCGUUGAUCCUACUGCAGCAGGGGAGCUGUGUUUGUGACCUGUGCUGUCACCAGAAACCACAUGGAGGGCCAUGAUCCGUGCUCCUGCUGACCACAGAGAGCAAGGCGGCUACUCUUGCUGUGAUAUCGAGGACUGCAGACAGAGUGGAGAGAGGGACGUGGUAGGCUUUCAUGACACCCCCCACCCAAAGUAACACUACACCAGAAGCCACCAAGGAGAACUAACUCUCCGGUGUGGGCCGCAUGGACAGUGCCGCCAGAGGAACUGGCAUGGAUCGGCUAAAGAAGAACUUGUUCAAACCCCAGAAAUCCCGAACCUUGAGAUUUAAAAUCUCAAUCUGAGGCGGCAGGAGAGGGGCUCCCUCUCUGUUUCUGCGCCUGCCUUGGAGCUGUGAUCCAGUGAACCCGACCGGGUGAUCAAACACAGUCAGUCACGCGGCCCAGCACCUGGAAUUCUUCCCCGUGCUCCUGAGGCAUCCUGGACACUCUCACCCCCUUCUCCCAAACUAUAUAAUCCUUGGCUCAUUCUGAAUGAAGUGUCUGUGUAUAAGCCCACCCUGAGUAAAGGUAUAUGUACAAGCUAAUUGUCUAAGAGAACUGUGUUAUUAAAGAUUGUCCUCGAAGGCCUUCACCUGAAAGAGCUGUAACACUAAUAUCCUCGGAGUCUGUCUGUCUGUCUGUCUGUAUCCCCUCCCCACUCCCAACUGGAGCUGGGUCCUGUCCAUUCUGGAGUCAGUCCACUUCAUCCAUCCAGCCACCCGGCGUGCUGCAGUGUCCGUACACCCUGAGAGGCAGAAGCCCAAAGCGUGCUUAAGUGUGACGGAGACGCUGAAGUGUGGCUCUCCACAGCUAAUGGCUUCUGCUGGAAGCAUAGGAGGGGACAGCCGCCAUUCUAUCUAAGGGGCAGGCCACUGAAGCACAGGAGGGGACAGCCGCCAUUCUAUCUAAGGGGCAGGCCACUGAGAGUUUGACUAUGCUCCA